Molecule: unclassified non-coding RNA, 227 nt
Filed under: uncultured Russula
Lineage: Eukaryota; Fungi; Basidiomycota; Agaricomycetes; Russulales; Russulaceae
Description: sequence contains ITS2
Source: RNAcentral
AUACUCUCAACCUUCUUGGUUUCUUUGGCCAUGAAGGCUUGGACUUUGGAGGUUUUUCUUGCUGGCCUCUUUUGAAGCCAGCUCCUCCUAAAUGAAUGGGUGGGGUCCGCUUUGCUGAUCCUCGACGUGAUAAGCAUUUCUUCUACGUCUUAGUGUCAGCUCGGAACCCCGCUUUCCAACCGUCUUUGCACAAAGACAAUGUUCGAGUUGUGACUCGACCUUACAAA